RNAcentral lists this ribosomal RNA (472 nucleotides) under uncultured bacterium. RNAcentral describes it as "bacterial SSU rRNA". It matches the Rfam family "Bacterial small subunit ribosomal RNA", at positions 355 to 825 of the family's 1533-position model. The record is from RNAcentral.
UGGGGAAUAUUGGACAAUGGGCGAAAGCCUGAUCCAGCCAUGCCGCGUGUGUGAAGAAGGUCUUCGGAUUGUAAAGCACUUUAAGUUGGGAGGAAGGGCAGUUACCUAAUACGUAUCUGUUUUGACGUUACCGACAGAAUAAGCACCGGCUAACUCUGUGCCAGCAGCCGCGGUAAUACAGAGGGUGCAAGCGUUAAUCGGAAUUACUGGGCGUAAAGCGCGCGUAGGUGGUUUGUUAAGUUGGAUGUGAAAUCCCCGGGCUCAACCUGGGAACUGCAUUCAAAACUGACAAGCUAGAGUAUGGUAGAGGGUGGUGGAAUUUCCUGUGUAGCGGUGAAAUGCGUAGAUAUAGGAAGGAACACCAGUGGCGAAGGCGACCACCUGGACUGAUACUGACACUGAGGUGCGAAAGCGUGGGGAGCAAACAGGAUUAGAUACCCCGGUAGUCCCUGAGCGGGCUGGCAAGGCGCAU